CUUCCCUUACCUGCCGAAUGUCCCUAGGAGGUCAUAUACCAGUUAAACUGCCCCAUUUUGCCUCUUAGUGUACAUUGUGAGCCCACUCAACCAGUUCCUGAGAUACUACUGGGAAGCUGCUGAUCACCAGUUUCAGGUUUUUUCCAUCUGUUGGGAAACUGCCUAUCCCUUGUGCUCGCUGCAACCAAUUAUUAUUUUAGGGAGACAGUUAACCGCCUGACCAUCACCCGAUGAUCGCCUGAUGUUCAUGCAUCCAUGACUACAUAAACUUUUUGGCCGUUUGACCAAAUGGGGACAUCUGGCAUACUGCUAUCAACCAAUAUGUAGUUGAAAAUUAAGCUCAGGGUCUGAGUUCUGGGAUGUUCACCAGUACCAAGGAGUCAGAAUGGAGGCCCUGUGUUAGAUGCUGCACAAAGAUGAAUAAGUGUGAACAGCUGUCAACUAUUCCAAAGUUGUAGCUGCUACAGCUGCUAUAAAAGGCAGCGAGUCUGAGGCUGCCCCAGGAAUCAGGAGGUGUUGUAUAAGAGGAGAACUUAGCUCUGAAUGGACUAGUAUACCUGAUCACCAGCAGCAGUUAAAAGGUAAACCACAUUUCUCAAGCUCCCUCAGGCUAGGUAUGUCCAGUGACUGAAUUCUUGCCAGUGGAAUAAGACAUAUUUGAUGUACUCCACUUUCGAGCCUGAUUCAGAAAGACUCUGAAACCUCCAUUCUCUCCCUUCUACUGGGCAUCUAUUUCCUGGAUGACCUUAAGACAAAGAUGGCAGAACCUUCAAAGUCUUGGACCCUGAAUGACUGCCUGGAGUAGAAGCUCCACUCUACUCUCAUGUUAGGAAUUGACAUGAGCAAGUAACACAUUUUAUUAUGGUAAGCCAGGUAUUUAGGGAGUUAUCUUACAGCUGUUGUUACUACAACUAAUAUAGAAAUUGGUGCUUUGAAAUGGUAACUACUACAAUGAGUAAGGCAUUAAACUACUUUUAUACAUAUAAUCUUUUAAACUAAAAGAACAAAAAAGAAUUUAUUUAAAUAGAAGCAUUAACAUAGCUGAGAUAGAAAAUUAAUAUGUACACAGGAAGAAAACAAACCUACAAAUGCAAAUUGCCUGAAAUGAUUCAUAAUUUAUGUUAAUAGAAAGCAAUUAAUAAAAAUUAUUUAUCACAAUAA
RNAcentral lists this long non-coding RNA (1161 nucleotides) under Homo sapiens (human). Its description in RNAcentral is "DDHD1 divergent transcript". Lineage: Eukaryota; Metazoa; Chordata; Mammalia; Primates; Hominidae. The record is from RNAcentral.